GACGAACGCUGGCGGCGUGCUUAACACAUGCAAGUCGAACGGUGAAGCGCCUUCCUUUUUGGUGGGUGUGGAUGAGUGGCGAACGGGUGAGUAACACGUGAGUAACCUGCCCCCUUCUUCUGGAUAACCGCAUGAAAGUGUGGCUAAUACGGGAUAUUCUGGGUCUGUCGCAUGAUGGGUCUGGGAAAGAUAUUGUUUCGGUGGGGGAUGGGCUCGCGGCCUAUCAGCUUGUUGGUGGGGUGAUGGCCUACCAAGGCGGUGACGGGUAGCCGGCCUGAGAGGGUGGACGGUCACACGGGGACUGAGACACGGCCCAGACUCCUACGGGAGGCAGCAGUGGGGAAUAUUGCACAAUGGGCGCAAGCCUGAUGCAGCGACGCCGCGUGAGGGAUGGAGGCCUUCGGGUUGUGAACCUCUUUCGCCAGUGAAGCAGGCCUGCCUCGUUUGUGGGUGGGUUGACGGUAGCUGGAUAACAAGCGCCGGCUAACUACGUG
This 494-nucleotide ribosomal RNA is filed under the name uncultured bacterium. RNAcentral's name for it is "partial 16S ribosomal RNA". It matches the Rfam family "Bacterial small subunit ribosomal RNA", at positions 28 to 507 of the family's 1533-position model. The record is from RNAcentral.